RNAcentral lists this ribosomal RNA (278 nucleotides) under uncultured Chloroflexota bacterium. Its description in RNAcentral is "uncultured Chloroflexi bacterium partial 16S ribosomal RNA". It matches the Rfam family "Bacterial small subunit ribosomal RNA", at positions 28 to 310 of the family's 1533-position model. The record is from RNAcentral. Lineage: Bacteria; Bacillati; Chloroflexota.
GAUGAACGCUGGCGGCGUGCUUAAUACAUGCAAGUCGAACGGAGAUUGCAGCAAUGUGAUCUUAGUGGCGAACGGGUGAGUAACGCGUGGGUGAUCUGCCCCGAAGUGCGGGAUACCAGUUCGAAAGGACUGCUAAUACCGGAUGUGGUCAUGAGGAUUAGAAGCUUGUGACUAAAGGCGAAAGUCGCUUCGGGAGGAGCCUGCGACCCAUCAGCUAGUUGGUAGGGUAAAAGCCUACCAAGGCGACGACGGGUAGGGACCUGAGAGGGUGGCCCCCA